RNAcentral lists this transfer RNA (74 nucleotides) under Mycoplasma sp. Its description in RNAcentral is "tRNA-Thr". It matches the Rfam family "tRNA". From Rfam's summary of the family: Transfer RNA (tRNA) molecules are approximately 80 nucleotides in length. Their secondary structure includes four short double-helical elements and three loops (D, anti-codon, and T loops). The record is from RNAcentral. Lineage: Bacteria; Bacillati; Mycoplasmatota; Mollicutes; Mycoplasmatales; Mycoplasmataceae.
GCCGAUUUAGUUUAGGGGCAAAACAAGUGCAUGGUAAGCACUAAAGACAAGUUCGACUCUUGUAAUCGGCACCA